UUUCUUAUUGGUUAAGAUUUUCGGAUUAAGUAUGAUGUUGUGUUUGCAUAUUGUUUGGAAUUUCCAAGCAAAGUAACGAAAGUUACUAUUUUCAUUUCCUGUAUAUUCGGCUUUUUCGCCAAACACCGCUUCCACAAAGAGCGGUGUUUUUU
RNAcentral lists this non-coding RNA (152 nucleotides) under Aggregatibacter aphrophilus. RNAcentral's name for it is "GcvB RNA". It matches the Rfam family "GcvB RNA", at positions 34 to 201 of the family's 204-position model. Rfam says of the family: The gcvB gene encodes a small untranslated RNA involved in expression of the dipeptide and oligopeptide transport systems in Escherichia coli. Included several unknown homologues in alignment (Bateman A pers obs). Lineage: Bacteria; Pseudomonadati; Pseudomonadota; Gammaproteobacteria; Pasteurellales; Pasteurellaceae. The record is from RNAcentral.